Molecule: ribosomal RNA, 468 nt
Filed under: uncultured bacterium
Lineage: Bacteria
Description: partial 16S ribosomal RNA
Rfam family: Bacterial small subunit ribosomal RNA
Source: RNAcentral
GAUGAACGCUGGCGGCGUGCUUAACACAUGCAAGUCGAACGGUGAAGGCGGAGCUUGCUCUGCUGGAUCAGUGGCGAACGGGUGAGUAACACGUGAGCAAUCUGCCCCUGACUCUGGGAUAAGCGCUGGAAACGGCGUCUAAUACUGGAUACGAGCUGCGAAGGCAUCUUCAGCAGCUGGAAAGAACUUCGGUCAGGGAUGAGCUCGCGGCCUAUCAGCUUGUUGGUGAGGUAACGGCUCACCAAGGCGUCGACGGGUAGCCGGCCUGAGAGGGUGACCGGCCACACUGGGACUGAGACACGGCCCAGACUCCUACGGGAGGCAGCAGUGGGGAAUAUUGCACAAUGGGCGAAAGCCUGAUGCAGCAACGCCGCGUGAGGGACGAUGGCCUUCGGGUUGUAAACCUCUUUUAGCAGGGAAGAAGCGAAAGUGACGGUACCUGCAGAAAAAGCGCCGGCUAACUACGUG